RNAcentral lists this ribosomal RNA (404 nucleotides) under Actinomycetes bacterium. RNAcentral's name for it is "Actinobacteria bacterium partial 16S ribosomal RNA". It matches the Rfam family "Bacterial small subunit ribosomal RNA", at positions 355 to 776 of the family's 1533-position model. The record is from RNAcentral. Lineage: Bacteria; Bacillati; Actinomycetota; Actinomycetes.
AGGGGAAUAUUGGACAAUGGGCGCAAGCCUGAUCCAGCCAUGCCGCGUGAGUGAUGAAGGCCCUAGGGUUGUAAAGUUCUUUCACCGGUGAAGAUAAUGACGGUAACUGGAGAAGAAGCCCCGGCUAACUUCGUGCCAGCAGCCGCGGUAAUACGAAGGGGGCUAGCGUUGUUCGGAUUUACUGGGCGUAAAGCGCACGUAGGCGGACUUUUAAGUCAGGGGUGAAAUCCCGGGGCUCAACCCCGGAACUGCCUUUGAUACUGGAAGUCUGGAGUAUGGUAGAGGUGAUGGGAAUUCCGAGUGUAGAGGUGAAGUUCGUAGAUAUUCGGAGGAACACAAGUGGCGAAGGCGGCUCACUGGACCAUUACUGACGCUGAGGUGCGAAAGCGGGGGGAGCAAACAGG